RNAcentral lists this long non-coding RNA (2148 nucleotides) under Olea europaea (common olive). RNAcentral describes it as "long non-coding RNA (OEUR_LNC006959)". The record is from RNAcentral. Lineage: Eukaryota; Viridiplantae; Streptophyta; Magnoliopsida; Lamiales; Oleaceae.
GAUGCUUAUUCUAUGCUAUCUCAUUGUUGCUGCAAGUUUCUUUGUGCACAUCGAUCCAUCAAAUGGUGAGCACGUUUACCUUUCUGUUGUGCACGGAGCUUUACAUUACUUGUCUUUAUUAAUUUUCCUGGGUACAUAAAGGAUUGGCUACUGUACCUGGUGUUGAUCUGGUUACAUUGAAAGUGUGGCCCAGGUUUGAACCCAAUUUUGUAAUCCUUUUUGAAAGUUUCAUAUGAAGUUAUUUGUUUAAACAUCCUUCAAGACCUUUCUAUAUGUAUUCAACUCUUAUUGGUGCGCUAAUUCUGCUACUUGAUAAUGCUUUAUGAAGAUCGAAGGAAAUUUUACUAUCUCCAAUCCCGGUUUACUUGGCUUUACUAAUAUAAAGUAGAGCCACGAAUUUAGAGCUUUACAUUUUCUCAAUAUUUUAAAAUGGAACAUAAAGCUUUGACUUUAGACUUUUAUAUAUAGAAGUAACUAUCCUGUGCCUUUAAAAGAUAUCAUGUUCUUUCGUUCUAUGCAUUUUAAAACCUGAAUUGUCUACUUCCCCAAAUAUUGGUUUAGAGCAUAUUUGCGUGUACUUGAAAGCACCUUAAAAGAGGGAUUUUUUUAUUUUUUUUUUGGAUAUGCUGCCAACAAAAGCACUCUUAAACGGACCCCUAGUUUUAACUCUAAUUGGAAUUAAUGUUUAUUCAUUUGGACUUUGUGCAGAUGAUGAUUAAGAUUGGAGAAGGAUUAUUUCAUUUGUUUGAGGUUGGCACAACAAAUAGCUAGAUCUGCAACGCUCUCUAUAAACAAGGCCCAUCUUAGUAAAACUUAACUUUGGCCCUAUUGAGUAGGUGGAAAAUAUGGAUAGGGCAGAUUAUCACUGUCAGCAGAAGCGCUGAGCCGGUAGAUUUUGACUCUCGUAUAUUCAUCUGUGUUAUAUGCUAUUUGAUCGAUAAACAAAAUUGAGCAGAAUCAACAUUCACCAGCAUUACAGAAAGCUUUUUUUUUUUUUUUUCAAUACGAAAAAGAAGCUGAGUUGGAUGCAAAGCAAAUUGGAGCAUGUAAUCUUUGAUAUCUUUUGUUUAUUCAUUAAGAAUUAUUUUGUUAUGAAAUGCAUCCCUGUUAGUCAUGCUUGUUGGUUCAUUUUUUUGUCCAAGUUCAGUUUGAAUAAAGCAUUUGACCAGUCAGAUUUGAGUUACUUGUUCAAUUUAUAAUUGUUUGGUAGCAGCCUAAUGAAAUUUUAUGAUUUUAAAAGUGCAUUUAGCUUGUCUUCAUUUUAGUCACCAUUCUAGUUGCCAACUGGUGAGAAUAUGAAAAUCAGACCAAGAUCUGUACCAACCAUAUAUUCAUGUUUCUUGGAUUUCUUUACCCAAGACAAUUACUAAUUUAUCCAAGAUCAAAACCAGUUUCUUCUAGAUGAAAUAUCCCAUAUGAUUUUAUGAAGGGAGCCCCUUCCCUCUCCUUCUGUUGCCCUGUUCAUCCAUUUUCAUGUACUCAGGAGCUCCCUAGUAUGGGGACUUGGCGAGCCAGUUUGUGCUAGCGAACGUGGCGAACUAGUAAGAGUUGGCUCCCUUCAAAAUUCUCUCUGCUCGGCUCAUGUCACUAACAUUUAUUAUUAUUAUUAUUAUUAUUAUUAUUAUUAUUAUUAUUUUUCUUGACUUCUCAACAAGCGAAUAGCAUGAGAAAAAUUCAACUCGGCUCGUCCCAUGAUUUGCCUCUUGGGCCAGCCGAGCUGUGUGGGGAGAGCAACUCACCCCACUCGACACCCUUAGGCUUGAGAGAACGUGAGGUGACGGGGACAAGGGGAAUAUGAGCAGUUGGAGAAAAAGGGAAGCCAAGAAAGGAAAAAUUAAGGUGGAACUUCUUAAGUCUUAACUUUGAACUUAGAAUGGUUUUGACCCUUCAACAUUAAAAGGGGAGGCUAGGUCCCAAGCAAUUGAACUAUGUAAAUCUAACUGCACUUGAGAGAAUUCAUUGAACAAAUGGUGAGCACGUUUACCUUUCUGUUGUGCACGGAGCUUUACAUUACUUGUCUUUAUUAAUUUUCCUGGGUACAUAAAGGAUUGGCUACUGUACCUGGUGUUGAUCUGGUUACAUUGAAAGUGUGGCCCAGGUUUGAACCCAAUUUUGUAAUCCUUUUUGAAAGUUUCAUAUGAAGUUAUU